Molecule: long non-coding RNA, 1228 nt
Organism: Pongo pygmaeus (Bornean orangutan)
Lineage: Eukaryota; Metazoa; Chordata; Mammalia; Primates; Hominidae
Exons: 2
Source: RefSeq, a predicted model, not a curated record
CAGGGCAGAGCACGGGCGGCGGCGCCCCCUGGCGGCCGGAGGCGGAGGCGCCAACCCCGGAGCCCCACCCAGUCGAGGCCAGCCUUUCCGCGAGCCCGCCCCCACACGUUCAGGCCGCGGCUGCCCCCGGGAGAAGGUCCAGGCGCCUCGAUGGCACUCAGGGCCCGCCCCACAAGCAUCACCAGCCUUGCCAUCUGCAGUUCCCUUCCCCAGCAACGCGCGGGCCCUUCCCACCGCCUCAUGGAGCCUUCCAUCUUCAGAGUCAAUGAUCUGCAGCCCUCCAGGCCCAGCCGGCAACCAUCACAUGCCAGGACUGCAUACGGCCCACCUGGCUGUGUGGCCUUGGCAACGCACACUCUCCGGGCCUUGGUACCUUUCUCCUUCCGCGCUAGAGACGCGCCGGCCACCCCUCCUGCUCCAGGUGUGGAAGAGCACCUUACAACCGCUCACUUAGAAGCCUGCCCAGCUGCCCGAGACCCAAGGCUGCAGAGUGUUGGAAGGGCGGGGACACACGGGCCCCACAUGUAUGCUGCCUAGUCCAGGUGGGAGAAAUGAAGCCCAGAACAUCGGGCUCCAGGACGGCCCGGAAAGCUGAGUCAGGGCCCUGACCCAGGUUGAGGACUGAGGUUAGGACCACCAUCACCUUGGCACACCUUAGCCCGGGCCUCUGCCACUGGGAGAGAAUACCCAUCAGUUCUCGGUAUUUUUUUUCUUUCUACAUUUUAUUAUUUCAAACCAGGUGAACAAUUCCAUAAAACAUGUGAAAAAAGCAAGGAAGUGUUCAACGCUGAAGGCCCCGGGCCUGGGACAAGGGCAUGAGGGGCGUGGCCCCCCAGCAGGCAGCGGCGGUUCCUAGGUUAGCGCUAGGGAGCUACAUUUUAGGUUAAUGGAGCCUGGGCCCAGGGCCGCUGGGGCAUGGCCCUCAGUGACGUUGGCAGUUGUCUGGAACAGCCCUUGGAACCCAAUUCUGUGGAGGGCAGGGCAGGGGUGCCGCUCGCACGGGGGCGGCCAGCAGAGGGACGGGUGUAAACACGCAGACACACUCAAGGCACGGAGUCACUUGGAAGGGGGGCUUGGGGGGAGGGGGGUUGCUGGUCAGGAUCUGACAGUUUUUAAAUAGUUUUUCUCUAAAAAGUUUUCUAGAUUUGCAGUUUUCUUUUUUUUUUUUUUUUUUUCCUUUACUUUCAUUUUUUUAAAAAGCUACGAGAAUGAGCAGGUGGACUGUGGU